Molecule: small RNA, 28 nt
Filed under: Bombyx mori (domestic silkworm)
Lineage: Eukaryota; Metazoa; Arthropoda; Insecta; Lepidoptera; Bombycidae
Description: ovarian small RNA-21630
Source: RNAcentral
UACUUCGAUAGUUUGAGAAUGUCCUAAA